This 1273-nucleotide ribosomal RNA is filed under the name Blautia wexlerae. Its description in RNAcentral is "partial 23S ribosomal RNA". It matches the Rfam family "Bacterial large subunit ribosomal RNA", at positions 1533 to 2820 of the family's 2925-position model. The record is from RNAcentral. Lineage: Bacteria; Bacillati; Bacillota; Clostridia; Lachnospirales; Lachnospiraceae.
UUGGCAAAUCCGGGUGGCAAUGGGAAGCCGUGAUGCGGAGCGAAAUAAAGUAGCGAAGUCCGUGAGCCAUGCGUCAAGAAAAGCCGCUAUUGUUUAUACCGUACCCGUACCGUAAACCGACACAGGUGGAUGAGGAGAGAAUCCUAAGGCCGGCGGAAGAAGCAUUGUCAAGGAACUCGGCAAAAUGGCCCCGUAACUUAGGGAUAAGGGGUGCCUGGGAAACCAGGCCGCAGAGAAUAGGCUCAAGCAACUGUUUAGCAAAAACACAGGUCUAUGCGAAACCGAAAGGUGAGGUAUAUGGGCUGACGCCUGCCCGGUGCUGGAAGGUUAAGAGGAGAGGUUAGCGCAAACGCGAAGCUUUGAAUUUAAGCCCCAGUAAACGGCGGCCGUAACUAUAACGGUCCUAAGGUAGCGAAAUUCCUUGUCGGGUAAGUUCCGACCCGCACGAAAGGCGUAAUGAUUUGAGCGCUGUCUCGACAAUGCAUCCGGUGAAAUUGAAGUACCAGUGAAGAUGCUGGUUACCUGCGCCAGGACGGAAAGACCCCAUGGAGCUUUACUCCAGUCUGGUACUGGGACUCGGUAUUGCAUGUACAGGAUAGGUGGGAGGCUAGGAGAUGGUAACGCCAGUUGCCAUGGAGCCGCUGUUGGGAUACCACCCUUGCAGUAUUGGGUUUCUAACCAGCCGCCGUGACCCGGCGGUGGGACAAUGCCAGACGGGGAGUUUGACUGGGGCGGUCGCCUCCGAAAGGGUAUCGGAGGCGCCCAAAGGUUCCCUCAGAAUGGACGGAAACCAUUCGAAGAGUGCAAAGGCAGAAGGGAGCUUGACUGCGACACCGACGGGUGGAGCAGGUACGAAAGUAGGGCUUAGUGAUCCGGUGGUAUUAAGUGGGAAUGCCAUCGCUCAACGGAUAAAAGCUACCCUGGGGAUAACAGGCUUAUCACUCCCAAGAGUUCACAUCGACGGAGUGGUUUGGCACCUCGAUGUCGGCUCAUCGCAUCCUGGGGCUGUAGUAGGUCCCAAGGGUUGGGCUGUUCGCCCAUUAAAGCGGUACGCGAGCUGGGUUCAGAACGUCGUGAGACAGUUCGGUCCCUAUCCGGCGUGGGCGUAGGAUAUCUGAGAGGAGCUGUCCUUAGUACGAGAGGACCGGGAUGGACGGGCCGCUGGUGCAUCGGUUAGACUGCCAAGUCUACGGCCGAGUAGCCAAGCCCGGAAGGGAUAAACGCUGAAGGCAUCUAAGCGUGAAGCCCCCCUUAAGAUGAGAUAUCCCAUUCG